This 253-nucleotide ribosomal RNA is filed under the name uncultured bacterium. RNAcentral describes it as "partial 16S ribosomal RNA". It matches the Rfam family "Bacterial small subunit ribosomal RNA", at positions 524 to 776 of the family's 1533-position model. The record is from RNAcentral.
UACGUAGGAUCCAAGCGUUAUCCGGAAUCAUUGGGCGUAAAGCGUGUGUAGGCUUCCAUAUAAGUUUCUCGUUAAAGCCCGGGGCUCAACUCCGGAAUCGUGAGGAAUACUGUAUGGAUGGAGAUACGGAGAGGCGGACGGAAUUCCUAGUGUAGCAGUGAAAUGCGUAGAUAUUAGGAAGAACACCAAUGGCGAAGGCAGUCUGCUGGCCGUCAUCUGACGCUGAGACACGAAAGCGUGGGGAGCGAACGGG